RNAcentral lists this ribosomal RNA (254 nucleotides) under uncultured bacterium. RNAcentral's name for it is "partial 16S ribosomal RNA". It matches the Rfam family "Bacterial small subunit ribosomal RNA", at positions 524 to 776 of the family's 1533-position model. The record is from RNAcentral.
UACGUAGGGACCAAGCGUUGUUCGGAUUUACUGGGCGUAAAGGGCGCGUAGGCGGCAAUUCAAGUCAGCUGUGAAAUCUCCGGGCUUAACUCGGAACGGUCAGCUGAUACUGCUUUGCUAGAGUGCGGAAGGGGCAAUCGGAAUUCUCGGUGUAGCGGUGAAAUGCGUAGAUAUCGAGAGGAACACCUGAGGUGAAGACGGGUUGCUGGGCCGACACUGACGCUGACAGCGCGAAAGCCAGGGGAGCAAACGGG